This 1190-nucleotide long non-coding RNA is filed under the name Struthio camelus australis. Its description in RNAcentral is "lncRNA (ENSSCUG00000005993.1)". Lineage: Eukaryota; Metazoa; Chordata; Aves; Struthioniformes; Struthionidae. The record is from RNAcentral.
AUGAUCUACCAUUUCAUCCCACCAAGGGUUUAUCAGAAGAUAUAUAUGUAUGUGCAUAUAGAGAGAGAGAGGAAAAAAAAACUGAUCAAAACAAUAAGGAUUUUAUUAUUCACUACCUUGUAUUUUAUCAAUAUCAUUUCUUUACCUAAAAUCAUCAUCAAGGAACUUUUGUUCCAACUCUAUUUUGUGUCUGUUUUGCUCUGGGAUAAAUUUUUCCUUCUGUUUUGGGGUUGGCAUUGUUUUAAUUUUAGUUUUGAAUUUUUUUUGGGGGGGGGGGAGAAGGACUAACACAUCCAAAACUAUUUUUCUGCUAGUUAUACAGUUUAUUAAAACACAUGGUAUACAGAUGCUGAUGCUCUGUGUGACACUUUAUUUAGAUGGAUGUGAGGCAUUAGACUGAAACUUGCCCUAGUAUACUGAUUCACCUAACUGGAGAAGCAGCAUGGACCGUUCCGUAUUGUAUCUGGGCCAAAAGCAUAUUGCAGUCACUGGCAGAUCUUCUUUUGUAUUAAUUUAUUGGGCUUCAGACUAAGCCUUGAGACCAACAGUUUAUUCUCUGUUCAUGUUCAUCAGUUCUCAGCCACUGCUAAAGCUUAGGACCCAGUAAAUGCAGGGUUUUUUUUUAGCCAGGUUGCCCCAUGAAAGUAAGGUGGUUAUUCACUCUUUUUUCUAGCAACUGCCAUGAAGGCCCUUUCCUUUGAAGCAAGGCAGCAGGCGAGUAUGUUCCCACCUAGUAUUUGCCACAAUAUUCAGUAUCUGGGUUUCGGUGGGUGGCGGAGGAGGGCACGAUUUGCUCCCUUCGUACUCUGACAGCAAGAUGUGCAGGUUUGCCACCUAAGGUGCAUUGAGCCAGCUCUCCAAAGCAGUGAGUGUCAUGGUUUUAAAAACCAUGCUGGGGCACAAGUUGCAGUCCUCACCUCAUCCACCCUUGUGUUCAGGCUGCCUGCAGACUCAGGUGGCUGUGACCACUUUGGUUCAUGUUUGUCUCAUUGCAGACUGUUCUUCCCUCUGAGGAGGAACGGGCACUUUCUUCCUUGGUUCUUUUUAAGGGUAGAGUGAAGGGCUGCUAGACUUGCACCAAGUACAAGGCUGCGUGCGCUAGGCUUGGGCCUACAGGAAAUGUCCAGAUCUUAUUUUGCCUGAGUUCACAAUGGAAUAAAGUCAUGUUUGAGAGAAAACCUUGGCUGAGA